Lepus europaeus (European hare) is the source of this 290-nucleotide long non-coding RNA. RefSeq lists it as uncharacterized. The transcript is spliced from 4 exons. The record is from RefSeq and is a predicted model, not a curated record. Lineage: Eukaryota; Metazoa; Chordata; Mammalia; Lagomorpha; Leporidae.
GGAUGAAGUUGGACUGUGUGUGGAAGCUAUGAGAGAGGGUGAAGAAAGCACUCAUCUUGCUUGAGAAUAGGAACUUGACUUCCUCCAAGUGCAGACAUAAUUCUUGAUCCAUAAAACUCAGAUUUCCACCUCCCGAAGAUUGAAACACUAACUUCUGUUAGUGGGAACUGGGCGAUGAUCGCUCUGGCUACUUCAUGCUGAAAAGGAUCUAAAACCGAGGACAGAGUCAUUAUUAGAGGCGCUAAGAAAAGUGUCUAGGGGCCACCGCUGUGACACAGUGGAUUAAUGCC